RNAcentral lists this ribosomal RNA (1346 nucleotides) under uncultured bacterium. RNAcentral's name for it is "bacterial SSU rRNA". It matches the Rfam family "Bacterial small subunit ribosomal RNA", at positions 28 to 1381 of the family's 1533-position model. The record is from RNAcentral.
GACGAACGCUGGCGGCGUGCUUAACACAUGCAAGUCGAACGGAAAGGCCCUGCUUUUGUGGGGUGCUCGAGUGGCGAACGGGUGGGUAACACGUGAGUAACCUGCCCUUGACUUUGGGAUAACUUCAGGAAACUGGGGCUAAUACCGGAUAGGAGCUCCUGCUGCAUGGUGGGGGUUGGAAAGUUUCGGCGGUUGGGGAUGGACUCGUGGCUUAUCAGCUUGUUGGUGGGGUAGUGGCUUACCAAGGCUUUGACGGGUAGCCGGCCUGAGAGGGUGACCGGCCACAUUGGGACUGAGAUACGGCCCAGACUCCUACGGGAGGCAGCAGUGGGGAAUAUUGCACAAUGGGCGGAAGCCUGAUGCAGCAACGCCGCGUGCGGGAUGACGGCCUUCGGGUUGUAAACCGCUUUCGCCUGUGACGAAGCGUGAGUGACGGUAAUGGGUAAAGAAGCACCGGCUAACUACGUGCCAGCAGCCGCGGUGAUACGUAGGGUGCGAGCGUUGUCCGGAUUUAUUGGGCGUAAAGGGCUCGUAGGUGGUUGAUCGCGUCGGAAGUGUAAUCUUGGGGCUUAACCCUGAGCGUGCUUUCGAUACGGGUUGACUUGAGGAAGGUAGGGGAGAAUGGAAUUCCUGGUGGAGCGGUGGAAUGCGCAGAUAUCAGGAGGAACACCAGUGGCGAAGGCGGUUCUCUGGGCCUUUCCUGACGCUGAGGAGCGAAAGCGUGGGGAGCGAACAGGCUUAGAUACCCUGGUAGUCCACGCUGUAAACGGUGGGUACUAGGUGUGGGGUCCAUUCCACGGGUUCCGUGCCGUAGCUAACGCUUUAAGUACCCCGCCUGGGGAGUACGGCCGCAAGGCUAAAACUCAAAGGAAUUGACGGGGCCCCGCACAAGCGGCGGAGCAUGCGGAUUAAUUCGAUGCAACGCGUAGAACCUUACCUGGGUUUGACAUGGAUCGGGAGUGCUCAGAGAUGGGUGUGCCUCUUUUGGGGUCGGUUCACAGGUGGUGCAUGCCUGUCGUCAGCUCGUGUCGUGAGAUGUUGGGUUAAGUCCCGCAACGAGCGCAACCCUUGUUCACUGUUGCCAGCACGUUAUGGUGGGGACUCAGUGGAGACCGCCGGGGCCAACUCGGAGGAAGGUGGGGAUGACGUCAAGUCCUCAUGCCCCUUAUGUCCAGGGCUUCACGCAUGCUACAAUGGCUGGUACAGAGAGUGGCGAGCCUGUGAGGGUGAGCGAAUCUCGGAAAGCCGGUCUCAGUUCGGAUUGGGGUCUGCAACUCGACCUCAUGAAGUCGGAGUCGCUAGUAAUCGCAGAUCAGCAACGCUGCGGUGAAUACGUUCCCGGGGCU